Molecule: ribosomal RNA, 427 nt
Filed under: uncultured bacterium
Lineage: Bacteria
Description: partial 16S ribosomal RNA
Rfam family: Bacterial small subunit ribosomal RNA
Source: RNAcentral
UGGGGAAUAUUGCACAAUGGGCGAAAGCCUGAUCCAGCCAUGCCGCGUGAGUGAAGAAGGUCUUCGGAUUGUAAAGCACUUUAAGUUGGGAGGAAGGGCAUUAACCUAAUACGUUAGUGUUUUGACGUUACCGACAGAAUAAGCACCGGCUAACUCUGUGCCAGCAGCCGCGGUAAUACAGAGGGUGCAAGCGUUAAUCGGAAUUACUGGGCGUAAAGCGCGCGUAGGUGGUUUGUUAAGUUGGAUGUGAAAUCCCCGGGCUCAACCUGGGAACUGCAUUCAAAACUGACUGACUAGAGUAUGGUAGAGGGUGGUGGAAUUUCCUGUGUAGCGGUGAAAUGCGUAGAUAUAGGAAGGAACACCAGUGGCGAAGGCGACCACCUGGACUAAUACUGACACUGAGGUGCGAAAGCGUGGGGAGCAAACA